CCAAUAGCGUAUAUUAAAGUUGUUGCAGUUAAAAAGCUCGUAGUUGAAUUUCGGGAUCAAUAUAUCGGUCGUGCCUUUGGUACGUACUGGUAUCAUUGGUUUCUCCUUUCUGACGAACCAUGAUGUCAUUAAUUUGGUGUUAUGGGAAGUUAGGACUGUUACUUUGAAAAAAUUAGAGUGUUUAAAGCAGGCUUUAGCUUGAAUACAUUAGCAUGGAAUAAUGAAAUAGGACGUUCGAACCUAUUUUGUUGGUUUCUAGGAUCAACGUAAUGAUAAAUAGGGAUAGUUGGGGGCAUUAGUAUUCAAUUGUCAGAGGUGAAAUUCUUGGAUUUAUUGAAGACUAACUACUGCGAAAGCAUUUGCCAAGGAUGUUUUCAUUAAUCAAGAACGAAAGUUAGGGGAUCGAAGACGAUCAGAUACCGUCGUAGUCUUAACCAUAAACUAUGCCGACUAGGAAUCGGAUGAUGUUAAUUUUUUUUAAUGACUCAUUCGGCGCCUUACG
This 502-nucleotide ribosomal RNA is filed under the name uncultured Glomeromycotina. Its description in RNAcentral is "partial small subunit ribosomal RNA". It matches the Rfam family "Eukaryotic small subunit ribosomal RNA", at positions 591 to 1092 of the family's 1831-position model. The record is from RNAcentral. Lineage: Eukaryota; Fungi; Glomeromycota.